UGUGGAGGUAGUGGCUNCNANGCGACGACGGGUAGCUCNGCUCUGANAGGGCGACCGGCCACACUGGGACUGAGAUACGGCCCAGACUCCUACGGGAGGCAGCAGUGGGGAAUAUUGCACAAUGGGCGAAAGCCUGAUGCAGCGACGCCGCGUGAGGGAUGACGGCCUUCGGGUUGUAAACCUCUUUCAGCAGGGAAGAAGCGAAAGUGACGGUACCUGCAGAAGAAGCGCCGGCUAACUACGUGCCAGCAGCCGCGGUAAUACGUAGGGCGCAAGCGUUGUCCGGAAUUAUUGGGCGUAAAGAGCUCAUAGGCGGCUUGUCACGUCGGGUGUGAAAGCCCGGGGCUUAACCCCGGGUCUGCAUUCGAUACGGGCUAGCUAGAGUGUGGUAGGGGAGAUCGGAAUUCCUGGUGUAGCGGUGAAAUGCGCAGAUAUCAGGAGGAACACCGGUGGCGAAGGCGGAUCUCUGGGCCAUUACUGACGCUGAGGAGCGAAAGCGUGGGGAGCGAACAGGAUUANAUACCCUGGUAGUCCACGCCGUAAACGGUGGGAACUAGGUGUUGGCGACAUUCCACGUCGUCGGUGCCGCAGCUAACGCAUUAAGUUCCCCGCCUGGGGAGUACGGCCGCAAGGCUAANNCUCAAAGGAAUUGACGGGGGCCCGCACAAUCAUCNNANCAUGUNNNUUANUUUACNCANCNCGAANAAUCCUUAUCNANGCUUGACAUACACCGNUANAGCAUUUANAUAG
Molecule: ribosomal RNA, 750 nt
Filed under: uncultured Streptomyces sp.
Lineage: Bacteria; Bacillati; Actinomycetota; Actinomycetes; Kitasatosporales; Streptomycetaceae
Description: partial 16S ribosomal RNA
Rfam family: Bacterial small subunit ribosomal RNA
Source: RNAcentral